AGCGAUAUGAGGAGAUUGAAACAUCUGAAAGUUUUCAUGUGGAUAACACACAUGGUCUUCAAAGUUCUCUGAUCGCU
RNAcentral lists this small nucleolar RNA (77 nucleotides) under Setaria italica (foxtail millet). RNAcentral's name for it is "Small nucleolar RNA R160". It matches the Rfam family "Small nucleolar RNA R160". From Rfam's summary of the family: snoR160 is a C/D box small nucleolar RNA, which acts as a methylation guide for 25S ribosomal RNA in plants. snoR160 has been alternatively named snoZ270 in rice. Lineage: Eukaryota; Viridiplantae; Streptophyta; Magnoliopsida; Poales; Poaceae. The record is from Rfam by way of RNAcentral.